This 434-nucleotide long non-coding RNA is filed under the name Homo sapiens (human). Its description in RNAcentral is "HSALNT0222380". The record is from RNAcentral. Lineage: Eukaryota; Metazoa; Chordata; Mammalia; Primates; Hominidae.
CAGAGAUUGGCCUACAAAGACUAAAAUAUUUAUUCUCUAGUCCUUUACAGAAAAAGUCUGCCAUCACCUUGGGAUAGAGAAUAAAAGUUGGAGCCAGACCCACUCAAUGGUGUGGGUUGCUGCCUGGCAAAACCUCCGUGCCUGACACUGGGAUCCCCAAGGAAUGAAGGUGAAAUAAAGACAUUUCAGACAGACUAAGAGGAGAAUCUCACACCAGCAGACCUGCACUAAAGGAAAUAUUGAAGGAAAGAUUGAAAAUGUCUCGAAGAAAAGUUAGAGGUGUGAGAAAUAAUGAAAGGCAAUGAAACGUGAGUAUGUUUAAAUAGUGACUGCAUAAAACAUAAUAGCGAUGUGUUGAAUUUAAAACAUACAGAUAAUUAAGAUACACAACAACAAGAGGAACAAAAUCAUAUCACAGUAAGGCAUAUUAAAAC